This 29-nucleotide small RNA is filed under the name Bombyx mori (domestic silkworm). Its description in RNAcentral is "ovarian small RNA-32315". Lineage: Eukaryota; Metazoa; Arthropoda; Insecta; Lepidoptera; Bombycidae. The record is from RNAcentral.
UGAUAAACGAUGAAACAAGUUGAGAAUGA